CGUAACGCAGGGAGGAUCAGCUUAUGGGACUUGCGCACUCGUUUAACGUCCUAAUGAUCAGUGCAGCGUUCGCAUUCGUGGCCAUAAUGCUUUUCGUGUGAUUCAGGCCACUGAAAGUCCG
Molecule: unclassified non-coding RNA, 121 nt
Filed under: Sinorhizobium medicae
Lineage: Bacteria; Pseudomonadati; Pseudomonadota; Alphaproteobacteria; Hyphomicrobiales; Rhizobiaceae
Description: Atu_C9
Rfam family: Rhizobiales sRNA Atu_C9
Source: RNAcentral